GCGACGUGCUACACUGACAGUCGACGGAGAGUUAUAAGGAAGCUUGUGAAUUCUUGACUUAGUGGCGCACGGGUGAGUAACGCGUGGAUAACCUGCCUGGAAGGCCGGGAUAACAGCUGGAAACGGCUGCUAAUACCGGAUACGCUUAAUGGAACGCAUGUUCUUUUAGGGAAAGCAAGCCUGCUAUCAUAUGGAUCCGCGUCCCAUUAGCUAGUUGGUGGUGUAAGGGACAACCAAGGCGACGAUGGGUAGCCGGCCUGACAGGGCUGACCGGCCACACUGGGACUGUAGCUCGGCCCACACUCCUACGGGAGGCAUCACUGGGGAAUCUUCCGCAAUGGGCGAACGCCUGACGGAGCAGCGCCACGAGAGGGAAUAAUGCCUUCGGGUUGUAGACCUCUGUCAUCAAGGAAGAACAGAUGACCGUACUUGAAUAGCAAGCCCCGGCUGACUACGUGCCCGCUCCUCGGUAGAACUUACGGGGCGAGCGUUAUCCGGAAUUACUGGGCGUAAGGGCGCGUAGGUGGUCUAUUAAGUCAAAGGUGAAAGAUCGUGGCUCAAUCGCGAGAUUACCACUGAUAGUGGUGGACUUGAUUGCCGGAUAGGGUAGCGGAAUUCCCCAUGUACCGCUGAAAGGCCUAGAUCUUGUCAGGAACACUAAUGGCCAAUGUUGCUCUCUGGAUCUGCACUGAACUGAUGUCGAAACACGACGAGCUGCAGGAUAGAUACCCGGGUAUCUACGCCUCAACGAUAAUGCUGGAGUUCAGGUAUCUACCCCUGUAUGUCCAAUUCUA
RNAcentral lists this ribosomal RNA (794 nucleotides) under uncultured bacterium. Its description in RNAcentral is "bacterial SSU rRNA". It matches the Rfam family "Bacterial small subunit ribosomal RNA", at positions 39 to 854 of the family's 1533-position model. The record is from RNAcentral.